AUUGAACGCUGGCGGCAUGCUUUACACAUGCAAGUCGGACGGCAGCGCGGGCUUCGGCCUGGCGGCGAGUGGCGAACGGGUGAGUAAUACAUCGGAACGUGCCAGGAGGGGGGGAUAACCUCGCCAAAGCCGGAUUUAAUCCCCAAACGACCCGAAGGUGAAAACCGGGGGACUUUGGGCCCUGCGGCUUUUGGACGGGCCGAUGGCAGAUUAGCUAGUUGGUGGGGUAAAGGCCUACCAAGGCGAGGAUCGGUAGCUGGUCUGAGAGGACGACCAGCCACACUGGGACUGAGACACGGCCCAGACUCCUACGGGAGGCAGCAGUGGGGAAUUUUGGACAAUGGGCGCAAGCCUGAUCCAGCAAUGCCGCGUGUGUGAUGAAGGCCUUCGGGUUGUAAAGCACUUUUGGCAGGAACGAAAAGUGCCGUGCUAAUACCACGGUACGAUGACGGUACCUGCAGAAUAAGCACCGGCUAACUACGUG
RNAcentral lists this ribosomal RNA (484 nucleotides) under uncultured bacterium. Its description in RNAcentral is "partial 16S ribosomal RNA". It matches the Rfam family "Bacterial small subunit ribosomal RNA", at positions 29 to 507 of the family's 1533-position model. The record is from RNAcentral.